UUAAAUUGAAGAGUUUGAUCAUGGCUCAGAUUGAACGCUGGCGGCAGGCCUAACACAUGCAAGUCGAACGGUAACAGGAAGCAGCUUGCUGCUUUGCUGACGAGUGGCGGACGGGUGAGUAAUGUCUGGGAAACUGCCUGAUGGAGGGGGAUAACUACUGGAAACGGUGGCUAAUACCGCAUAACGUCGCAAGACCAAAGAGGGGGACCUUCGGGCCUCUUGCCAUCAGAUGUGCCCAGAUGGGAUUAGCUUGUUGGUGAGGUAACGGCUCACCAAGGCGACGAUCCCUAGCUGGUCUGAGAGGAUGACCAGCCACACUGGAACUGAGACACGGUCCAGACUCCUACGGGAGGCAGCAGUGGGGAAUAUUGCACAAUGGGCGCAAGCCUGAUGCAGCCAUGCCGCGUGUAUGAAGAAGGCCUUCGGGUUGUAAAGUACUUUCAGCGGGGAGGAAGGUGUUGUGGUUAAUAACCGCAGCAAUUGACGUUACCCGCAGAAGAAGCACCGGCUAACUCCGUGCCAGCAGCCGCGGUAAUACGGAGGGUGCAAGCGUUAAUCGGAAUUACUGGGCGUAAAGCGCACGCAGGCGGUCUGUCAAGUCGGAUGUGAAAUCCCCGGGCUCAACCUGGGAACUGCAUUCGAAACUGGCAGGCUUGAGUCUUGUAGAGGGGGGUAGAAUUCCAGGUGUAGCGGUGAAAUGCGUAGAGAUCUGGAGGAAUACCGGUGGCGAAGGCGGCCCCCUGGACAAAGACUGACGCUCAGGUGCGAAAGCGUGGGGAGCAAACAGGAUUAGAUACCCUGGUAGUCCACGCCGUAAACGAUGUCUACUUGGAGGUUGUGCCCUUGAGGCGUGGCUUCCGGAGCUAACGCGUUAAGUAGACCGCCUGGGGAGUACGGCCGCAAGGUUAAAACUCAAAUGAAUUGACGGGGGCCCGCACAAGCGGUGGAGCAUGUGGUUUAAUUCGAUGCAACGCGAAGAACCUUACCUGGUCUUGACAUCCACAGAACUUUCCAGAGAUGGAUUGGUGCCUUCGGGAACUGUGAGACAGGUGCUGCAUGGCUGUCGUCAGCUCGUGUUGUGAAAUGUUGGGUUAAGUCCCGCAACGAGCGCAACCCUUAUCCUUUGUUGCCAGCGAUUAGGUCGGGAACUCAAAGGAGACUGCCAGUGAUAAACUGGAGGAAGGUGGGGAUGACGUCAAGUCAUCAUGGCCCUUACGACCAGGGCUACACACGUGCUACAAUGGCGCAUACAAAGAGAAGCGACCUCGCGAGAGCAAGCGGACCUCAUAAAGUGCGUCGUAGUCCGGAUUGGAGUCUGCAACUCGACUCCAUGAAGUCGGAAUCGCUAGUAAUCGUGGAUCAGAAUGCCACGGUGAAUACGUUCCCGGGCCUUGUAUACACCGCCCGUCACACCAUGGGAGUGGGUUGCAAAAGAAGUAGGUAGCUUAACCUUCGGGAGGGCGCUUACCACUUUGUGAUUCAUGACUGGGGUGAAGUCGUAACAAGGUAACCGUAGGGGAACCUGCGGUUGGAUCACCUCCUUACCUUAAAGAA
This 1554-nucleotide ribosomal RNA is filed under the name Salmonella enterica subsp. enterica serovar Braenderup. RNAcentral's name for it is "bacterial SSU rRNA". It matches the Rfam family "Bacterial small subunit ribosomal RNA". Lineage: Bacteria; Pseudomonadati; Pseudomonadota; Gammaproteobacteria; Enterobacterales; Enterobacteriaceae. The record is from RNAcentral.